AUGCCAAAACCUCAGCCUCCUGCGGCCAGACAGCGCAACUCCAACUCUGACGAAGAACUCAGUAGGACAAAACCAGGCACGGCUGGCGCCACGGGAGAUCGCCGAACGGGCAACCUGCAGCCAGUCAUCGUAUACCACAGGGCCUCGCCACCGCAGCUUCGACUCCGUAGCAACAAGCAAACCGAGGCAAUACCGUGGACACGCCGAAGAAGAGCCGACUACCGCAACCAUUGUCGCGUCGCCGACAUCGCUCCCACCAUCAUCGUUGUCGCAGAAGCCUGGACACCACCAACCACCGGACCCGCUUGCCGAUGCCGAGCUCCAGGACGAAGCCCCCAAGAGGGAAAAAGACACCAAGGUGUCGUCAUCGUCCGAUCAUAA
Molecule: ribosomal RNA, 381 nt
Filed under: Triticum aestivum (bread wheat)
Lineage: Eukaryota; Viridiplantae; Streptophyta; Magnoliopsida; Poales; Poaceae
Description: partial small subunit ribosomal RNA
Source: RNAcentral